Molecule: ribosomal RNA, 711 nt
Filed under: uncultured Pasteurellales bacterium
Lineage: Bacteria; Pseudomonadati; Pseudomonadota; Gammaproteobacteria; Pasteurellales
Description: bacterial SSU rRNA
Rfam family: Bacterial small subunit ribosomal RNA
Source: RNAcentral
CGAACGGUAACAGGGAUUAGCUUGCUAAUCUGCUGACGAGUGGCGGACGGGUGAGUAAUGCUUGGGAAUCUGGCUUAUGGAGGGGGAUAACUACGGGAAACUGUAGCUAAUACCGCGUAAAAUCUUCGGAUUAAAGGGUGGGACUUUCGGGCCACCUGCCAUAAGAUGAGCCCAAGUGGGAUUAGGUAGUUGGUUAGGUAAAGGCUGACCAAGCCGACGAUCUCUAGCUGGUCUGAGAGGAUGACCAGCCACACUGGAACUGAGACACGGUCCAGACUCCUACGGGAGGCAGCAGUGGGGAAUAUUGCACAAUGGGGGGAACCCUGAUGCAGCCAUGCCGCGUGAAUGAAGAAGGCCUUCGGGUUGUAAAGUUCUUUCGGUGACGAGGAAGGUUGAUAGGUUAAUAGCCUAUCAAAUUGACGUUAAUCACAGAAGAAGCACCGGCUAACUCCGUGCCAGCAGCCGCGGUAAUACGGGGGGUGCGAGCGUUAAUCGGAAUAACUGGGCGUAAAGGGCACGCAGGCGGUGACUUAAGUGAGAUGUGAAAGCCCCGAGCUUAACUUGGGAAUUGCAUUUCAUACUGGGUCGCUAGAGUACUUUAGGGAGGGGUAGAAUUCCACGUGUAGCGGUGAAAUGCGUAGAGAUGUGGAGGAAUACCGAAGGCGAAGGCAGCCCCUUGGGAAUGUACUGACGCUCAUGUGCGAAAGCGUG